This 469-nucleotide ribosomal RNA is filed under the name uncultured bacterium. Its description in RNAcentral is "bacterial SSU rRNA". It matches the Rfam family "Bacterial small subunit ribosomal RNA", at positions 355 to 823 of the family's 1533-position model. The record is from RNAcentral.
UGGGGAAUAUUGGACAAUGGGCGCAAGCCUGAUCCAGCCAUGCCGCGUGUGUGAAGAAGGCCUUCGGGUUGUAAAGCACUUUCAGCGAGGAGGAAGGGAGUUGUGUUAAUAGCACAGCUUCUUGACGUUACUCGCAGAAGAAGCACCGGCUAACUCUGUGCCAGCAGCCGCGGUAAUACAGAGGGUGCAAGCGUUAAUCGGAAUUACUGGGCGUAAAGCGCACGUAGGCGGUUUUUAAGUCAGAUGUGAGAGCCCCGGGCUCAACCUGGGAAUUGCAUUUGAAACUGGAAAACUAGAGUGUGUGAGAGGGGGGUAGAAUUCCAAGUGUAGCGGUGAAAUGCGUAGAGAUUUGGAGGAAUACCAGUGGCGAAGGCGGCCCCCUGGCACAACACUGACGCUCAGGUGCGAAAGCGUGGGGAGCAAACAGGAUUAGAUACCCGAGUAGUCCCUGAGCGGGCUGGCAAGGCGC